Molecule: long non-coding RNA, 2507 nt
Organism: Triticum aestivum (bread wheat)
Lineage: Eukaryota; Viridiplantae; Streptophyta; Magnoliopsida; Poales; Poaceae
Exons: 4
Source: RefSeq, a predicted model, not a curated record
GCUCCUCCCUCCCCCCCCGGAAAAAGCUCGAUGCGCCCCUAAAAAAAAACUCGAUGCGGUCGGCGAGGUUGCGGGGCAGAGCCCAGCCAGCCGGCGGAGGCGACGCGGGCGGUAUGGUUGCGCCAUCCCGGUCGCGGACCAGCUCCGUGCGGUAGAGGUUGGUUGGGGCCUCCCGGACCGCACGCCGAUGUAGAUCGACGCCAAUCGUAGUUUGGCUACUCGGCUGUUCGUCGAGCGAAACUGCUCCGCGGUUUGAACGAAGCAAUCAUUCCUCGCUUUCGGGAGGAAUCCAUGGCGGAAUGCGGAUGAUGCGGCCCCCUUGCCGGCGGUGAUUAAUGUAUGUCUCUCUGUUUAACCACCCUUUGCUGCUUAGUUCACGACGCAUGUGUAUAUUCUUCCUCGCACUAUCUGGUUACUCCGGCAGCAGAACAUGAACAUCCAUCACCAUGGUUCUCGGCUAGUUCUGUACAGGCGGUAUUCAUACUGUUGUGGUCAAUUGAUUCGGCCAGAUCUUUGGAGAUUGGUUAUCAAAUUAUUUUUACUCUCUGGACAGCGAUUGAUGUUCCAAAUUGGCAUUCUUCAUCUGAACUGAGGUAUAAGGCGAGCCUCCAAAACAAGGGAACAGUACGUUGCCGAGUAACAUGUAUCAAAGAAGUGGAAUGGUUAGCUUCUCUACUUCUUCAAGAAUUUCUGAAAGGAUAUAAUAAACAGGUGCCAUGUUAUAAACUUCUGUUAUUGAUAUCCUUGCAAUCGUUCGCAGUGUGUUAGCCACCUUAUUCUACCAAUAUAUGUUCCAGAAUUAAUUGGACCAGUUUGUGUUUAGAAGAGUGUUCCUUUCCUAUCUGAUUGACUCCAUGAAUAUUUUUAAUGAAUAAGAUAUAAACAGCAAUGUACAUUUAUCUCUGAUGUAUAUUGCCAUCCAAAUAAAGGGCUGUUAAUUUUCAAUGUUGUUUAUACAAUGUGACUUUACAAUACAUUUAUCUCUGAUGCGAUGAAUGUCAACCUGAUGGGCAUAGGUCACAGGUUAGGUACUCUUGUACUACUACUGUAGGUUCUACUAUUUUACACACAACUAUCUAUGAACAUACUUGCACAUCCAUAUCUAAUAUUGUUGAUAUCCCUGGGGCCUAUAGACUAGCUAUAUGGUGCAUACUUGCUAACGAGUAUUGACUGCAAAGAGAGGGUCUGCAUAAUGUCAGAUAAACAUAUAGGUACAUGAUUGCUAAUUAUAUACUAUAUACAUGGUAUUAUAGCUUAUAGGUAGUGCACCUGCUAUGAUUGUUAGAAACCCAUUUCCUUUCCUGAAUAUGCAGGUUAGAGAAGCUCAUUUUCUGUUGUUUUAAGGCUCAUCCUCAGGUUCAUUACAUGAACCAGAUAGGUGCAAUAAUCUCCAUUACGAACAAUGAUUGCUGUGUUCGUGCUUUGGAAAUGGAUGCUACUGUAUCUUUCUACAGGGCUAUACACUUGAAACACUCUAAUUUGAACUAUUCAAAUUAUACCAAAUGAAUUCUAACUUCCUGGAAGAAAAAUUGCAUCUGUUAGAAAUAUCAAUGUGCUUCCUGCUCUAUGAGAUAGAUCAUUCCCACAUUUUGAAUGACUUCAUUUGAAAGAACUGGUUCCAAUAUCAGAUUACCCCCUCCCUUUUUAUGAAUGAACAUAUCUAAAACAUGAAACAUAAACUUUUAUUAAAGUAUAAUCCGUUCACAUCUUAUGUAUUUCUAGCGUUCAUCAAGAUAGAAGAGCGUUGCAAUGAGCACCAAGUCACCCCUUACUACCAUACUACUUACUCCAAAUCAAUUAAACUUUAAAUCAUUUUAUAACUUACAAAUAUAUGGGUUUUUUCAUGUAUAUUUAACUUACAAAUAUGUUUUGAAGAUGACAAAAACCCUGCUCAACAUGCUAGUCUCUCGAACAGGGUCCCUAAAUGGGUUGCUAAGCUUUAUACAAUGCAAGGUGCUUAGGGAGAUGCUUAUUUAGAGAAAUAAACGAGUGUUUUCUUAGGCAUUGGUGCUUAUUUGUGGAAGGUGGAUGCUUGAUUAGACACCCCUCAUGAAAAUAAGCAUUGAUGCUUAAGAGAUAACUCAGUUUAAUUUACUAAGCACCUUGCAUUGUACUCUCUCCAUAAAGAAAUAUAUGAGCGUUUAGAUCACUAAAGUAGCGAUCUAUAGGGAAUACAAGGCAGAAGAAAGCAUAGUAGGUGGCAUAAUCUUGGUUGAACAUAUACAAGUUUGACUUGCACAAAAAUCAAUAUAGCUUAUAUUUUGAAGCGAAGAGAGUAUACACGUAAGAUAUGAGCCAACGACUAAUCUACCCUGAUUUACAUAAGGUGUGGUAACCGAAAAUUGUACACAAUCUGCUCUCUGAAUCUAUUCGCCUAAACCUCUAAAACUACCUAGUGUCUACACCUUUAGUUAGAGCUCACGAGCUCGAAGGGGCAGGAUCCAUCCUAAAACGUAGCAGGACGUUUGCGCUUCCCAAGUACGCCCGGUUCGUCGCCCUCUAGUUCU